CCAAUAGCGUAUAUUAAAGUUGUUGUGGUUAAAAAGCUCGUAGUUGAACCUUGGGCCUGGCUGGCCGGUCCGCCUCACCGCGUGUACUGGUCCGGCCGGGCCUUUCCCUCUGUGGAACCCCAUGCCCUUCACUGGGUGUGGCGGGGAAACAGGACUUUUACUGUUAAAAAAUUAGAGUGCUCCAGGCAGGCCUAUGCUCGAAUACAUUAGCAUGGAAUAAUAGAAUAGGACGUGUGGUUCUAUUUUGUUGGUUUCUAGGACCGCCGUAAUGAUUAAUAGGGACAGUCGGGGGCAUCAGUAUUCAAUUGUCAGAGGUGAAAUUCUUGGAUUUAUUGAAGACUAACUACUGCGAAAGCAUUUGCCAAGGAUGUUUUCAUUAAUCAGGAACGAAAGUUAGGGGAUCGAAGACGAUCAGAUACCGUCGUAGUCUUAACCAUAAACUAUGCCGACGAGGGAUCGGACGAUGUUAUUAUUUGACUCGUUCGGCACCUUACGAGAAACCAAAGUGUUUGGGUC
Molecule: unclassified non-coding RNA, 516 nt
Filed under: uncultured Glomeromycotina
Lineage: Eukaryota; Fungi; Glomeromycota
Description: SSU rRNA
Rfam family: Eukaryotic small subunit ribosomal RNA
Source: RNAcentral